UACGUAGGUGGCAAGCGUUGUCCGGAAUUAUUGGGCGUAAAGCGCGCGCAGGCGGUCCUUUAAGUCUGAUGUGAAAGCCCACGGCUCAACCGUGGAGGGUCAUUGGAAGCUGGAGGACUUGAGUGCAGAAGAGGAAAGCGGAAUUCCACGUGUAGCGGUGAAAUGCGUAGAGAUGUGGAGGAACACCAGUGGCGAAGGCGGCUUUCUGGUCUGUAACUGACGCUGAGGCGCGAAAGCGUGGGGAGCAAACAGG
This 253-nucleotide ribosomal RNA is filed under the name uncultured bacterium. RNAcentral's name for it is "partial 16S ribosomal RNA". It matches the Rfam family "Bacterial small subunit ribosomal RNA", at positions 524 to 776 of the family's 1533-position model. The record is from RNAcentral.